This is a non-coding RNA of Cordylochernes scorpioides, 7974 nucleotides long. The record is from the annotation of a GenBank genome assembly. NCBI's taxonomy places the organism in Eukaryota, Metazoa, Arthropoda, Arachnida, Pseudoscorpiones, Chernetidae.
UUGGGGUUGCUUUUCUAUUAUUUGGGUGGUCGUGAGAAAACCACAUAAAGGAUUGCGAGACAGUAGGUCUGCCUCGUACUGCGUUUUACCUUUUAUUUAUUUUAUAUCGUAUUCGUAUGCGGACAUCUUUAAGCUCCACCUAAAAAGUCUACCCGUUGGGUUUUUUAUGGUUUUUAACCAUUGUAAUGCAUGGUGGUCCGUAAAAAUUGUGAACCUUACACCUGCGAGAUAGAUGCGGAAUUUUUCCACACUAUCUAUCACAGCAAGGCAUUCCAACUCUGUGAUGGUAUAAUUUUUCUCGUGGGGUCGGAGUGCUCUGCUGUAAUAUUGCACGGGGUGUAGAGUGCCGUCUGGAUGUUGUUGUUUUAGGAUGCCAGCUAUUCCCUGAAGUGAGGCAUCACAGAAUAGUUGACAGGGUAACCCUUCUUUAAAGAGGUGUAGUACCGGUUUUGUGGUCAGGCAUUCCUUUAGAGUGUCAAAUGAAUGUUGGCAUUCUGCAUCCCAGUGCCAUGGGGUAUCUUUCUUAAGUAGAUUAUUGAGGGGGUUCCUAAUGCGGGCGUGAUCUUUUAGAAAUUUAUUAUAUACAUUGAUGGAGCCUAAGAAUGAUUGGAGGGAUUUAACACUAGUGGGGACCUUAAUGGCAUUAAUUACAUCUAAAUUUUUUACUAAUGGAGUGUAUGUGCCUGAUGAUAUGGUAUAGCCUAAAAAUUCUAUUGUAGUUUUAAAGAAGUUACACUUAUUAUAAUUUAAUCUAAAAUUUUCCCUAUUACACAUAUAAAAAAAUUGCUGUAAGUGAUCUAAAUGUUCUUCUAUGGAAUUUGAAAAGAUAAUGAAAUCGUCGAAAUAAUGUGCUAUAAAACCUAACCUAUUUCUUUGCAAUAUCUGACUGACUGCUCGCUCAUACACCUGGGGUCCUAUUUUAAUCCCGUAUGGUAAUCUUUUGAAAUUAUACUGACCCUCUAACGUGACAAAAGAUAAUAAAUUUCUAUCAGGGGGACUUAUUUCGAUGGACCAGUAUGCUGAUGAAAAAUCGGCGCGGGAGUAAAUUUUGGCGUUGGCUAAUUUAUCUAAGAUAUUCUCUAUGAGCGGAAGGGGGUGAACAUCGGGGAAAAAUAUUUCAUUCAGGCGGCGGUAGUCUACGCAAAAUCGUUUUGUCUUAUCCUUUUUGGUAACUAAAGUAACGGGAAAUGAAUAGGGGGGGAAAGAAGGCUCUAUAAUAUCAUAUUCUAGCAUUUUCCCUACUUGUUCUUGUAUUUCACGUUGAUCUGAAAGAGAUGUACGAUACGGUCUGAGUGCAAUUAUUUUGUCUGAAUUUGUCCUAAUAUUGAUAGGGGGAAUUUUCAAUUUUGGGAUGUUAUAUUUGUUAGUAGAAAAAAUAUUUGAGUAAUUCUUAAUAAUAUUCAUAAAAGUUAAAGGGAUAUCAGUCCUAACACAUAAAUUACAAGAAUCAUUAAAAAUUUUACAUUGAUGUUCAGAGGGAUAUAGUGGGGGUAAUAAAUAUAAAUGGGGAAAAUGAGCUAAAGUUUGGCUGGGUGCAUUUUUGUCACAAUUGGUAGAGGUCUUGUUCAAGGUAAUGGGACAUGGUAUAGGAUGGACAUUUUCCCCUUGCAACAAUGGAGAAUGUGAGUUAGGCAUGUUUUUUAGAUGACCCAUAUUGGGCGGAUUGUGGUUACUCUCUCCAUUAUUACAUGGGGUUACAUAGGUUAUAUGGUACCAUUUCUUAGACAAAGGAGCAUCACAUUGAUAAAUAGAAUGAUUAUAUAAAUUUAAGGUCAAACAAAAUUGACUAAUGGAAUUUAAUGAUAGUAUACCAAAAGGUAAUAAAUUAUCUACAGGAUGUACCAGGUAAAUUGGGAAUUUCAACAAUGGUAUUUUAACUGAAAUUUUUUGCAAGUAAAAAUUAAAAUAUCCGAAUGAAAUUUGACACAGUAGUAGAUAAAAGGAUAUAGUUUUUAUUUAUUCAAUGUAGUUUCCAUUAUUAGCUACAACAGUCUCGAGGCGAGUGCGGAAUGAAGCACAGGCCUUGGCGACGAUGACCUUGUCCAUUUGGGUCAUCACCGUGUGAACUGCUUUCUUUACAGACUGGAUGGUGGUAUGAGGAGCUUUGUUGACAUCUCUCUCAACAACGCCCCACACAUAGUAGUCGAGGGGAUUGCAAUCUGGAGAAUUAGGGGGCCAAAUAUCAGGACCCCAGUGACUAGGGACGUUAAGUGUCAGCCACGAUUGUGUCUUUUUUGCCUUAUGGGCUGGAGCUGAGUCCUGUUGGAAGACAUACUUCCUUCCUGCGGCCACCAUGUCCAUCCAAGGCUUCACAACGGUCUCCAGAACAUUGAUGUAGGUGUCAGCGUUCAUCCUAAGGCCCUUCUCAAAGAAAUGGGGAGGCAUGACAUCACCUUCACUGCUGAUAACGCCAAGGACCAUUACGGAGGCAGGAAAUUUCGUGUGCAUCACGACAGGUAUCUCUGAGGGGUCUUUACAGAUCCAGCGAUCAUUCCUGGGAUUUACCUUUUGGUCCACGUCAAAGUUCUUUUCGUCAGAGAAGAACCUUAGCAUGCCAAAAGAGUCGUGUUUCAGGUUGUUGAGGAGGGCAGCAGCCUUUCCUUUUCUGUUAUUCUUCAUAUUCUCAGUCAGCAACUGACCUUUCCGAAGGGCAUAAGACUUGAGACCAAGGUCCUCAUGGAUAGUUCUGACAAUUGUCAUAGAGCCAACGUCCAUUUCCUUGGCUAUGGCCCUCAUGCUCUUCCCAGGGUUUCCAUCAAUCUUCUCCUUGACAUUUUUGACAAAUUCUUCGCCUCUUACCCUGUCCGAUCGACGCGAGUGCUUUUUCCUUGUAGCUAUCCCCUCUUUGUUACUGUCGGCCUCAUCAAACUGCUUCUUGACACGAUAAAUAGUGGUUUUGGGCAACUUAAGAAAAUCCACUAUCUCUUUGGGGCUCCUUCCGGCGCGCAGAGCAACGAUGAUGGCAGCUCGAUUUUCAAAUUCUCGGUUACUCUUCAUCACUACACUGCGCACACAUGUACUGUUGCAUUUUACAUGAAUAUGGCUACGUAAUGAAAAAAAAAAAAAGUUUUUAAUCUCAAGUAGUUUUUGUUUUAUGGACUGUCAAAGUUAGUCCCAAUUUACCUGGUACACCCUGUAUUAUAUAAAAUUUAAUUGAUUUUGUAAUUUUUCCUAUGGUAGUGGUCAAAAAUGUAUAUCCUAUCGAAUUUAUUUGAGUAGAUAUGGAAUUGAUUAAUAUAUGACAUGGAUAUAAUUUUAAAGUAUUAGAUAAGUUUUUACUAAGAUGGUUAAAAAAAUAUUUAAAUUAAUUAUGUUAAUAGAGGCUCCUGUGUCUAAGAGGAAUGGGCAAUAAAAAUUAUUAAAAAUUUUAGGUUUACAUAGAAUAUUGGAUAGUUUAGGGGCGAAAAUUGGGGUUUUCGUUGCCUUGUGGGGUGCGAGAAGACCUGGGGGCCGGCACGGGAAGGUUGUGGGCGCCAUUUUGUUCCGGUGGGAAAUAAUGCGCCGUAGGUUGGCCGUGGUAGGCCUGCUGCCUGUAGGGUCGCCUGUUCAUGGAACAUUCACUGUUCCAGUGAUCACCUUGGCAGUAUUUACAUGGUGAGGGUGGUCUCCUGGCACCAGAAGGGUAUCUUGGAGUAUUGUUUGUUGAAAAAGGAUUGUAGUUCCUUCCCCUAGAAGGAGUUCCGGUAUCACGGUGAAAGGCACUGGUGUGGGUAACACCUUGAAAUGGUUCGGAUGGAGUAGGGAGUGAACUGGUCCCUUUUAUUCUAGUCAUGGUAGAGUACCAUUCGGUCAGGGUUUUAGGGGCUAUGGCCCUCAUGAGGCGCUGAUCACUGGCCUGGAGGCCUUCCGUUAAUGCCUCUACUAUGAUGGGAUUGGUUAGACCCAGUUGUAAUCCCAUAGUUAUUUUUUGACGGUAAUAUUCUCCUAAUUGGAUCUGAUUAGUUAAUUUAAAAGUUAAAAAUUUGGUGAAAGUGACCUCGGAUUUUCCGGGGUAGAGGUCUAUGAGAGUUUGUUUUGCUUGACUGUAUGGCAGAGAGGCCAGAUUUAGUUCGUUGUAGAGGGAGAGGGGCUCACCUUUGAGUAGUGUACGGAGCCGGGUUUGCAGUGUGGUGUCAUCUUGCGGUCCCUCGCUCGUCCGCUCGAGUUGCUGGAUGAAGUUGCUUGCUGCGUAGGAUCCGUCGAAAGGAGAGAUGAGGGCUUCCUCCACACGAGGCACGGCUAUUCCCCGAAUGGCGUCUGUUAGGCGGCUUACUAGGUCUUCGCAGUGGGGCUGCAUGUUGGUGAGGGCAUCCGCGAAGUAUUCGUCUCCAGCCUCCGUCAUCCUCUGCAUGUUGCUGUCCUCAGUCAUCCUGUCGACUUUAACGCGUUCUGUAGUAAUCCCGAUGUGGAAUGUACUGGGCAGUCGUGGUAGUGGGUGCGUGAUGGGAUUCCCGUACGGUGACAGCAAGGAACAGAGGCAGGUCUAGAUGGUAGCUCCAAGAAGUAGAGGUAGACCACGGACGAAGAUUGUCGCGGAUGCCCUAGCCGACCGUAUAACGGCGUCGCUCUGAAAACAACUGCCUUUGUCUCUUUUCUGGGCCUUUUAUAUUAUUGGACGCCCGCAUAUGUGGUGAUUCCUGAUUGGCUACUGUAAUCACGCCACUUUCUGGCGCCGGGUUGUUUUCGUCUGGUCUACCUCGUCCUCUUUGUUUUAUUUGUCACUUCCAUUGUUCGAUACAUAUUUUUAUAUAUAGAUAUGGGGUUAUAUAAUAAAUAUCAGAAGAAGGUUGUGAACUAUCUAACUCAAAAUAUACUACAUAUAUAUAUAUAUAUUAUUAAUAAUUUUAAAUUUUAAAAGGUUGGGUUGUUAGAGAGAACCUGGCAACAAUGGGUCUAAAAAUAUAGUUAAAUAGAUCUUUCUCUGAUAAAUACUAGACCCCAUUCAACUUGUGAAAUCAUAAUUUUAGAUUAUAAAGAAAUAGAAGAAAGUUCGGACCUCAGCCAUGGUGGUGCUUUUUAAAAUCCUUAACCAAUAUAAUAAUAAUUACUGGUAUUAAGAUGCACUUUUUUUUAAUAUCUAAGAUAAUGAUCGGGACAAAAAAAAUGCGAAGUCUGGCCGCUGGUGUUGCAAAAGCUCAAGAAAUUGAUCAUGGCGGCACCACAGCUGCAAGAUCUAGCGGCUGGUUUUAGAGACCGCGUGUUGCAAAAGCUCAAGAAAUUGAUCAGAGCGGCACCACAGCUGCAAGAUCUAGCCGCUGGUUUUAGAGACCGCGUGUUAAAAGCUCAAGAAAUUGAUCAGAGCGGCACCACAGCUGCAAGAUCUAGCCGCUGGUUUUAGAGACCGGGUGUUGCAAAAGCUCAAGAAAUUGAUCAUGGCGGCACCACCGCUGCAAGUUCUAGCCGCUGGUUUUAGAGACCGCGUGUUACAAAAGCUCAAGAAAUUGAACAGAGCGGCACCACAGCUGCGAGAUCUAGCCGCUGGUUUUAGAGACCGCGUGUUGCAAAAGCUCAAGAAAUUGAUCAGAGCGGCACCACAGCUGCAAGUUUUAGCCGCUGGCUUCAGAGACCGCGCGUUAAAAGCUCAAGAUAUUGACCAGAGUGGCACCACAGCUGUAAGAUCUAGCCGCUGGUUUUAGAGACCGCGUGUUGCAAAGCUCAAGAAAUUGAUCAUGGCGGCACUAUAGCUGCAAGAUCUAGCCGCUGGUUUCAGAGACCACUAGUUAAAGCUCAAGAUAUUGAUCAGAGCGGCACCACAGCUGCAAGAUGUAGCCGCUGGUUUCAGAGACCGCGCGUUACAAAGCUCAAGAUGUUGAUCGAUGCGGCACACUACGAUCUUGCCACCAGAGGCCACACGUUGCGGAAGUUCAAGCACAGCUCCAAGAUUACUUAUAACCCAGGUUCCUAGACCGCAGAAUGCCAACUACAUGUUGAGCUGGCGUUGGCCCAGCUUUAUUUGGGCAAGUACAAGUCACGUGCUAUUCCAUAUUAAUGUACGACCCCCAAAAAAAAUGUUGGUCAUAUUUAUUUUUUCAUAGUGAAAUAUUAAGCCUUUCAAAAUAGUGCUAUUUAAAAAAAUCAGAGUAAAAAAAUAACCUUCUAAGAAUCGAACCUUAAACCUUUUAUCUUGCGAGACAUUGCACCAUCCUCCUGCCCCGCCAGUAUGUAGUCCUUUCGUUAUGGAGAAAUGGGGGGUCAAAGGCUAAAUCUUCAAAUGUACCGUAUAAAUAGAAGUACCCGGAGGUCCAGGGGGAAUUAUUCUUAAGUCAUUUUUCUUUCAAUUGCGGCACACGAAUUAAUUCAAGGUAAAAUUGUAAAGGUAUUAAAAUUAUAAAGGUCGUUCACAAUAAGUAGCUUUUUGUGCGUGCGAAAAAAGAUUUAUAAUUUUAACACUUAAAUUGAUUAGGUGACAAUUUACAUUAUGGAGAUAUGUGUUAGGAUUUUAUAAGUUGUUUUAUCAUAGAUUUAUAUAUUUGUAUUUUGACCAGAUGACCGGACGGUUUUACAUGUAUAUAAUUGGUUUUAAAUGAUGUAAAUUAGUUAGUCAUGAAAGGAAAUUAAAAGUGUUGAUUUUAUUAGAGGUGUUAGUGUUUACUCUGCUCGAUUAUAGACUGGGAAAGAAUUGGUUUCCUAACAGGUUAUGGGCCCAGCACGCUUCCACUGCGCCGAAGAAAGUAAUUAGUUUAGCCCAAAAAGGUAAAGAAGAAAAAGCUGAAGUUAAAGCUAAGAAGGUAAAGAAGAAAAAAGCUGAAGUUAAAGCGAAGAAGAAGAAGAAAAUAUUUAAGUUAUAUUUUUUGUCAGAUUUGCAUAACUAGAAAUAUCAAUGGCUGACGAGUUGAGAGUACCACAGCCGAUGGGAGAACAUCACGACCGAUGGGAGAAUACCACGGCCGAUGGGAGAAUACCACGGCCGAUGGGAGAACAUCACGACCGAUGGGAGAAUGCCAUGGCCGAUGGGAGAAUACCACAGCCGAUGGGAGAAUACCACGACCGAUGGGAGAAUACCACGGCCGAUGGGAGAACAUCACGACCGAUGGGAGAAUACCAUGGCCGAUGGGAGAAUACCACAGCCGAUGGGAGAAUACCACGACCGAUGGGAGAAUACCACGGCUGAUGGGAGAACAUCACGACCGAUGGGAGAAUACCAUGGCCGAUGGGAGAGUACCACAGCCGAUGGGAGAAUACCACGACCGAUGGGAGAAUACCACGGCCGAUGGGUGAACAUCACGACCGAUGGGAGAAUGCCAUGGCCGAUGGGAGAAUACCACAGCCGAUGGGAGAAUACCACGACCGAUGGGAGAAUACCACGGCCGAUGGGAGAACAUCACCACCGAUGGGAGAAUACCAUGGUCGAUGGGAGAAUACCACAGCCGAUGGGAGAAUACCACGACCGAUGGGAGAAUACCACGGCCGAUGGGAGAACAUCACCACCGAUGGGAGAAUACCAUGGUCGAUGGGAGAAUACCACAGCCGAUGGGAGAAUACCACGACCAAUGGGAGAAUACCACGGCCGAUGGGAGAACAUCACGACCGAUGGGAGAAUACCAUGGCCGAUGGGAUGGUACCACAGCCGAUGGGAGAAUACCACGACCGAUGGGAGAAUACCACGGCCGAUGGGAGAAUACGAAGAACUGAGGAGAGAAGACGAAGAGGAAGGCCAGAAUGAAAAUAUAAUCCCAAGGGGGUCUUCAAGAGUUGCGGCUUGGCGGAGGGAGUGUUGCAGAUAUUCUAACUGGGGGAAUUGGAAGAAUUAAACUGACCGGGAUCUUGGCCACUCUAGGGCUCCGAUGAGGGUAUGAAAACAACUUUAAAAUGGGGGGGCAUUGUUAGGAUUUUAUAAGUUGUUUUAUCAUAGAUUUAUAUAUUUGUAUUUUGACCAGAUGACCGGACGGUUUUACAUGUAUAUAAUUGGUUUUAAAUGAUGCAAAUUAGUUAGUCAUGAAAGGAAAUUAAAAGUGUUGAUUUUAUUAGAGGUGUUAGUGUUUACUCUGCUCGAUU